Sinocyclocheilus rhinocerous is the source of this 243-nucleotide long non-coding RNA. RefSeq lists it as uncharacterized. The transcript has 3 exons. Lineage: Eukaryota; Metazoa; Chordata; Actinopteri; Cypriniformes; Cyprinidae. The record is from RefSeq and is a predicted model, not a curated record.
GGCACCUCACCAAGACUAAAGGGAUUUAUACGUACAGCCUACAUCACCUGUCACUUUACCUCCUGAAACAAUUGAGCUGGCUGCACCGUAUCCAAUGGUUCCGCCCCUUUGUUCCCUUUUCUGAAUUCUGAUUGGAACAAUGGAACGUCAAUCCCGUCCAAACAAGUGACUGUGGGGCAACAUCUGAAUUUUUGAAGGCGAACUUUGAUUGUGGCAUAGCUCCAAUAAGUCUUCUGGGCUAAA